UCGGAUGUGGUGUACGGCGCACACCCGCUGUUCUUAUGUCUGCGCUGAAGUCUAAGUGAAGCGGGAAGUCUGGGUUCGAUUCCCGGUGUCCGAA
Mycena maculata is the source of this 94-nucleotide non-coding RNA. Lineage: Eukaryota; Fungi; Basidiomycota; Agaricomycetes; Agaricales; Mycenaceae. The record is from the annotation of a GenBank genome assembly.